This is a long non-coding RNA of Bufo gargarizans (Asiatic toad), 230 nucleotides long. RefSeq lists it as uncharacterized. The transcript has 4 exons. The record is from RefSeq and is a predicted model, not a curated record. Lineage: Eukaryota; Metazoa; Chordata; Amphibia; Anura; Bufonidae.
GUUGGGGAUCAAAUUGGAAAAGUAGCAGAAGAGCUUGGGUUGGAAAUUCUAAAUACAGUGGAGGGUCUUGGAUUAAGUGAUGUUGUAAUGAACGUUUUAUGCAGUGUGUUGGGGGAAACACUUAAAACAUUGAGCCAGUCUCUGGCAGGCUUGAAUUUGAAUGUUGGAGGUGUUGUUGCAGGUGGUGUUGGCGGUGGUGUUCUGGGAGGAUUACCACUAUUAGGAUGAAG